This 2326-nucleotide ribosomal RNA is filed under the name Podosphaera xanthii. Its description in RNAcentral is "16S ribosomal RNA". The stretch from base 1 to 1852 matches the Rfam family "Bacterial large subunit ribosomal RNA". The record is from RNAcentral. Lineage: Eukaryota; Fungi; Ascomycota; Leotiomycetes; Helotiales; Erysiphaceae.
UUUAAGUAUAAAAAGAAAUUAUUAUGGAAUUUUAGCUAUAUGUUAAAGAGAAAUCAUUAUUAAUAUGAUUAUAUUAUUAACAUAAUAUAUUCAUAAAAAUAUAAACUCUAAGAGAAAUUGAAUAAUAAACGAAGUGAAUUGAAAUAUCUUAGUAACUUCAGGAAAACAAAUCAAAAGAGAUUCCACAAAUAGUGUGAACGAAAAUGGAAAAGUCUAAAAAGUAAAAUGGUAUCUAAACAGUUUGAAUACUAUGGGGAACCUUCCUCAAAGACUAAAUAUUAUAGAUAAGCUAUAGAACAAAGUACCGUGAGGGAAAAAAUUGAAAUAGUGAUUUUAGAAGCAGUUUGAAAUAAAAAACGUACCUUUUGCAUAAUGGGUCACCAAGUUAACAUUAGAUGCGAGAAAAUACGUAGUUAAACCGAGCGUUAAAAUAACGGUAUAGUGUCUAAAGUUAGACCCGAAGCCUGGUGAUUUUACCAUAAUCAGGAUUAUAAAAGUCCGAACGGGUUAUCGUUGCAAAGAUAUCCGAAGAAUUAUGGUAGGUGUAGUGAAAGACAAUACUGACCAGGAUAGCUGGUUUUCUGCGAAACCUAUAACAGUAGGCAAUUUAAGUAUAAUAUCUUAGCAGGUACAGAAUUUAAUCUCAGACAAGACAUAAGGCUUAACUUGUUAACAAGUUAAGCCCAUGUUUUAUUUUGUACAAAUUGGGGGAUCAUGAAGAUUUUAUCAGUGAGUAUGUAGACUCGGAAUGGCAAAGAUAUAUCUUAAAUCAUCAGACAUAGAAUGAUAAGGUUGUAUGUCAAAAGGGAAACAGCCCAGAACAAGAGUUAAGGUUCCUAAAUUAUUAGUUGAGUGAAAUUAAGAAGGUUUUUAUUAAAGUCGACAAGGAGAUAGGCUUAGAAGCAGCCAUAAUUUUAUGACCUCGUAACAGAGCGCUUGUUAAGUUUUAAAAGCAUCGAAAAUUUAACGGAUCUAAACAAUAUACCGAAACCUUGUCCAUAUAAAAUAAAAUAUAUUUUUAAUUAUAUGGGGUAGCAGAACGUUGAAUUAUGUUAAGACUUUUAUUUUUUAAAUAAAAGUAACUAUUUUUAUAUAAUUAAUUUUAGUGAAAAACUAGAAUUAGCGAUUUAUAAAAAUGAAAAGUCAAAUUCAAGUGAGAAUGGUGACAUGAGUAACUAAAAGAAAAAUUUAAUUUUUCCGCCUAAAGCUUAUGGAUGACAUUAAGUAACGGCCUCUAAGUUUAUAAUUAUCUAAAGGUUUAAACGAUGAGAAAUCUUUAUUACUAAGGACAACAUUUUAGUGGAAAAUGUACUGGAAAAAUAGUAAUAUCAUGAAAUUCCUGCAAAGGAAGUAAUAAUGAUACCAACCGUACCUAGAUUCUGAAACAAGUAAGCUAGUAGAGAAUACGAAGGCGUAAAUGAGCUAACAAUCAUAAAGGAACUCGGCAAAUUGACUACCGUAACUUCGGGAUAAGGAGAGCUCAUUAUUCUUGAUUAAUAUCAGGUAAAGAGGAAGAAGCAUGAAAUAGUGUUGUACGACUGUUUAAUUAAAACACAGCACUUUGCUGAAAGAUUAAAAAUCUAAGUAUAGAGUGUGAUGUCUGCCCGGUGCCGGCUGGUUAACAGAUAUAAUUAAAUAUACUAAUAUUUGAUGUAGACGGAAACCCCGGUUAAAGGCGGCCUUAACGUGAGGGUCCUAAGGUAGCGAAAUGCCUUGGCCGUUAAAUGCGGUCUUGCAUGAAUGAUGUAACGAUACAACAGCUGUCUCUAUGAUUGACUCAGUGAAAUUGGAAUAACUGUGCAGAUACAGUUUACCUCUAGUUAGACGAGAAGACCCUAUGCAGCUUUACUGUCACUAAUUAUAGAGUAUGAUAAACAAUUUUCAGAUUAUAAGGUAAUCGAUCUUAGAUUAAAAUGAGAAACCUUUAUUUUCAUUUCAUUUGAAUGAAUUAAUUUAAGACUAUAGUAAAAAUGAAUACAUAAAAAAAUGGAUGUCACAAGCACCGUUUAUGUUAUUUAUUUAUUGUUAUUAUCGUAAUAAAUUAACCUAAUUCAGCUUAUUUGUGCUUAUUAUUAAGGUAAUAAGUAUGAAUAAGUUCCCUUUGGUGAGGAAAUAUCGUUAGGAGACAGUUUAUGUGGGGCACAGACCCUGUAAAGAGUAAACAGGAGUGUCUAAUAAUUUUUUUAACAUUUAGUUUGUAAUUUUUAAUAGUUAUUUAUUAUAAUUAUUAUUGAUCAUAUUUAAUUAAAUAUAUUUAUAGAUUUUUAUAGCUAUAUUUAAAAUAAGGUAGGAUUUUUACUACAUAGAAAGUAGAGAUAUUCAAAGU